GAGCGGCAGCGCGGGGGCAACCCUGGCGGCGAGCGGCGAACGGGUGAGUAAUACAUCGGAACGUGUCCAGUAGCGGGGGAUAACCUGUCGAAAGAUAGGCUAAUACCGCAUACGCCCUACGGGUGAAAGCGGGGGACCGCAAGGCCUCGCACUAUUGGAGCGGCCGAUGUCGGAUUAGCUAGUUGGCGGGGUAAGAGCCCACCAAGGCGACGAUCCGUAGCUGGUCUGAGAGGAUGAUCAGCCACACUGGAACUGAGACACGGUCCAGACUCCUACGGGAGGCAGCAGUGGGGAAUUUUGGACAAUGGGGGCAACCCUGAUCCAGCCAUGCCGCGUGAGUGAAGAAGGCCUUCGGGUUGUAAAGCUCUUUCGGACGGAACGAAACGGUUAGCGUGAACAACGCUGACUAAUGACGGUACCGUAAGAAGAAGCACCGGCUAACUACGUGCCAGCAGCCGCAGUAAUACGUAGGGUGCGAGCGUUAAUCGGAAUUACUGGGCGUAAAGCGUGCGUAGGCGGUCCCCCAAGUCAGGUGUGAAAUCCCCGGGCUUAACCUGGGAAUUGCGCUUGAAACUAGGUCGCUAGAGUGUGGCAGAGGGGGGUGGAAUUCCACGUGUAGCAGUGAAAUGCGUAGAGAUGUGGAGGAACACCGAUGGCGAAGGCAGCCCCCUGGGUCAACACUGACGCUCAUGCACGAAAGCGUGGGGAGCAAACAGGAUU
This 720-nucleotide ribosomal RNA is filed under the name uncultured bacterium. RNAcentral's name for it is "bacterial SSU rRNA". It matches the Rfam family "Bacterial small subunit ribosomal RNA", at positions 64 to 779 of the family's 1533-position model. The record is from RNAcentral.